GGAAGGGUGGCCGAGUGGUUUAAGGCAGCAGUUUGCUAAACUGCGGCGGGUUAAUAGCCUGCCUCAUGGGUUCGAAUCCCAUCCCUUCCG
Molecule: transfer RNA, 90 nt
Filed under: Candidatus Doudnabacteria bacterium RIFCSPHIGHO2_01_FULL_43_23
Lineage: Bacteria; Candidatus Doudnaibacteriota
Description: tRNA-Ser
Rfam family: tRNA
About the family: Transfer RNA (tRNA) molecules are approximately 80 nucleotides in length. Their secondary structure includes four short double-helical elements and three loops (D, anti-codon, and T loops).
Source: RNAcentral